Molecule: long non-coding RNA, 437 nt
Organism: Toxotes jaculatrix (banded archerfish)
Lineage: Eukaryota; Metazoa; Chordata; Actinopteri; Toxotidae
Exons: 3
Source: RefSeq, a predicted model, not a curated record
UUGUGCACACACCAGAGCAGCGCGACAAACAAGUGGGAAAUACGAAAAAACAAAAAACAAAAACAAAACAGUUGUCAGUUAUUCCACAUAAGUUAGUUUCAACCACUUAAAUGUAUUCGGAAGGGAAAGCAGAAGUGACCCGAAGCCUGCUGAUGUGGGUUUACUGUAACCGGACCGUCUGGGUUUUUUGAUAACACUGGAAACUCCUUGGAUUGAUGGAUGGAAAAUGGAAACUGAAUGGCCAGCCACUGAGAGAUCUGAUUGCUUUUUCAUCAGAGAUGGAUCUCGCCUGUUCCUUUUUCCUUGCACAAGUUCACCGGUGUGGUGUUUGUUUUUGCCACAUGACCACCAUCUAUACCAUCUAUCUUAUUUGCUUACUUUUUAGUUUUUUGUCAUAUUUUUUAAUGUAAUUUUUCCCAAAUAAAAAGUGAGGUGCA